This 258-nucleotide long non-coding RNA is filed under the name Fukomys damarensis (Damara mole-rat). RNAcentral's name for it is "lncRNA (ENSFDAG00000022515.1)". Lineage: Eukaryota; Metazoa; Chordata; Mammalia; Rodentia; Bathyergidae. The record is from RNAcentral.
AUGGCCAAGAUCAGAGAGGAUACAGCAUGGUUCAUGAUGUUGGAUCCAGCAGAGAUAGUGGCCCUGACCCCUAACUGUCAAGGAGGAGAAAAGCAACUGGCAGGAGACUUACUAAGAGAAGUUACAGCAUCAUCGUCACUUUCUGCAAGGAUUCAACACAACAUCAUUCGUCAGCACCAGCUCCCCAAGCGUAAGAAGAGAGUAGAGUGGUCAGGAGGCAUCGGCAUCGAGACUGGUGUGGCUCUCUCCAGAGUGUGA